Coffea arabica (coffee) is the source of this 1056-nucleotide non-coding RNA. NCBI's taxonomy places the organism in Eukaryota, Viridiplantae, Streptophyta, Magnoliopsida, Gentianales, Rubiaceae. The record is from RefSeq and is a predicted model, not a curated record.
AUAAGAUGCAAACAGUCUUCAUGCAAAAUCGACUGUGUACUUCACUUCUCAGUUGCAUGUAAAGCUUCUUCUCAAUUGUUGUGAAUCCAGAAACUCAUACACAAGGUUUCCAACAAAGUUGCUGCACUGCUUUCUGCCUUAGCCAUCAAUGGAGGUAUUGUUUUGCUAGCUAGGUUUAUUAACUUGCCUGUUUGUUCAUAGUUUGUCUCUAUCGUCUUUCCUGUUGUUCCUACCAGUCUUUUUUCCUUAUUAUUACGCUUAAGAAGCUUCUGUUUUAUUCACUGUGUAAUUAUGUUAAAACAAAUCUCCUCGAUUGUAAUACGGACAACAUGAGUUCCUCUAAGUUAUAUCGACCUGACAAUGCUCUGAAUGUUCGUGAGAAAAAAAAUGAGAGGAAUAGAAAAAAGAGAGAAAAAUUUGCUGCUCUUUCGAAGGAAAAGAGGCUCAUCGAAGGAAAAGUAGAGAUGCGUAUCACAGAAAAAAUUUAACCAAACUUUUGUCCAAGCCAGUUGGUGAACAAUCUCAGCAGAUUUCCAAACUAUCAGAUACUUCAGGCUCUGUUACACCAGCUACUUCUAACAAUUGUGCUGAUGCUGCAAAACUUCAUGCAAAUACACUUGCUCAGAGAGCUGAUGGCUGUGUCAACACAGCUACCUCUUCUAAUCCUCAACUAUCUGCAUGCAACCGUCAAUAUGACAAUGUUACUUGGCUUCAAAUGUGCUCCGUCCCUCCUGCCUUCCAUGCACAUCAAAAUCAUCUUCGAGAUUCGCACAUUUCGCCGCUUUCCUAUGCCACUAUACAUGAUUAUGGUACAUGCCUAAUGGUUAUACUUACUACUAUAAGGAACUGGCACAAUUGUUUGUUUAUUUUCGGUUGCUGUCCUCAACUCUGUAUUUCUGUCUGUCUACUUGGUAGACAAUGAGGUUCCUAUACCUGACGCUGCAUCAAAAUUAAAGAAUGGUGUCUCCUACAUAUGAAUGAAAACAACUACUAUUACUUAGUAAAGACAACAAAAAAAUACUAAUGAAAUUAAAUACAACAACUGCAACCAGGAAA